UACCAGUUCUCCGAGUGGUAGGGAUGAUUAUAGGGCUUAAAGCGUCCGUAGCCGGCUUAGCAAGUCUCCUGUUAAACUCAGCGACCUAAUCGUUGAUCCGCGGGAGAUACUACUAGGCUAGGAGGCGGGAGAGGUCGACGGUACUUCCGGGGUAGGGGUGAAAUCCUAUAAUCCCGGGAGGACCACCAGUGGCGAAGGCUGUCGACUAGAACGCGCUCGACGGUGAGGGACGAAAGCUGGGGGAGCGAACCGGGAUUAGAUACCCGGGUAGUCCCAGCUGUAAACGAUGCGGGCUAGGUGUUGGGGUGGCUACGUGCCACUUCAGUGCCGCAGGGAAGCCAUUAAGCCUGCCGCCUGGGGAGUACGGCCGCAAGGCUGAAACUUAAAGGAAUUGGCGGGGGAGCACCACAAGGCGUGAAGCUUGCGGUUC
This 430-nucleotide ribosomal RNA is filed under the name uncultured archaeon. Its description in RNAcentral is "bacterial SSU rRNA". It matches the Rfam family "Archaeal small subunit ribosomal RNA", at positions 474 to 903 of the family's 1478-position model. The record is from RNAcentral.